RNAcentral lists this ribosomal RNA (395 nucleotides) under uncultured bacterium. RNAcentral describes it as "partial 16S ribosomal RNA". It matches the Rfam family "Bacterial small subunit ribosomal RNA", at positions 338 to 730 of the family's 1533-position model. The record is from RNAcentral.
CCUACGGGAGGCAGCAGUGAGGAAUAUUGGUCAAUGGACGGAAGUCUGAACCAGCCAUGCCGCGUGCAGGAAGACGGCUCUAUGAGUUGUAAACUGCUUUUGUACAAGGGUAAACCUGCAUACGUGUAUUCAGCUGAAUGUACUGUACGAAUAAGGAUCGGCUAACUUCGUUCCAGCAGCCGCGGUAAUACGGAGGAUGCAAGCGUUAUGCGGAUUUAUUGGGCUUAAAGGGUGCGUAGGCGGAAUGAUAAGUUAGGGGUGAAAUGCCCGAGCUUAACUCGGGAACUGCCUCUAAUACUGUUGAUCUAGAGAGUAGAUGCGGUAGGCGGAAUGUAAGGUGUAGCGGUGAAAUGCUUAGAGAUCAUACAGAACACCGAUUGCGAAGGCAGCUUACC